ACUCUAAGCGGUGGAUCACUCGGCUCAUGGGUCGAUGAAGAACGCAGCAAACUGUGCGUCAUCGUGUGAACUGCAGGACACAUGAACAUCGACAUUUUGAACGCAUAUCGCAGUCCAUGCUGUUAUGUACUUUAAUUAAUUUUAUAGUGCUGCUUGGACUACAUAUGGUUGAGGGUUGUAAGACUAUGCUAAUUAAGUUGCUUAUAAAUUUUUAUAAGCAUAUGGUAUAUUAUUGGAUAAAUAUAAUAAUUUUUAUUCAUAAUAUUAAAAAAUAAAUGAAAAACAUUAUCUCACAUUUGAAUGUGAAAAACGAAGAGAAAUAUUUUCUUUUUCAAUCAAAUAAUACUGAGAAAUGUCUAGCAUAAAAAAUUGAAAUAUUUUUCAUCUAGAAUUGUCUCUUAUUAAUGAUUCGGAAAUAGAAAAAUCUUGGUUAUGUUAUUAUUCUUCGUUGGUUCGUUAAAAAUGGAUAAAUAAAAACUUUGCAUACAAGAAUUAAUAAAAAUGUUAUAACGAAUUUAAUUAAAUGUUUUAUCAUUAUAUAUAAAGAAUUUAUGGCAAGAUAAAGUUAUAUACAACCUCAACUCAUAUGGGACUACCCCCUGAAUUUAAGCAUAUUAAUUAGGGGAGGAAAAGAAACUAACAAGGAUUUUCUUAGUAGCGGCGAGCGAAAAGAAAACAGUUCAGCACUAAGUCACUUUGUCUAUAUGGCAAAUGUGAGAUGCAGUGUAUGGAGCGUCAAUAUUCUAGUAUGAGAAAUUAACGAUUUAAGUCCUUCUUAAAUGAGGCCAUUUACCCAUAGAGGGUGCCAGGCCCGUAUAACGUUAAUGAUUACUAGAUGAUGUUUCCAAAGAGUCGUGUUGCUUGAUAGUGCAGCACUAAGUGGGUGGUAAACUCCAUCUAAAACUAAAUAUAACCAUGAGACCGAUAGUAAACAAGUACCGUGAGGGAAAGUUGAAAAGAACUCUGAAUAGAGAGUUAAACAGUACGUGAAACUGCUUAGAGGUUAAGCCCGAUGAACCUGAAUAUCCGUUAUGGAAAAUUCAUCAUUAAAAUUGUAAUAUUUAAAUAAUAUUAUGAGAAUAGUGUGCAUUUUUUCCAUAUAAGGACAUUGUAAUCUAUUAGCAUAUACCAAAUUUAUCAUAAAAUAUAACUUAUAGUUUAUUCCAAUUAAAUUGCUUGCAUUUUAACACAGAAUAAAUGUUAUUAAUUUGAUAAAGUGCUGAUAGAUUUAUAUGAUUACAGUGCGUUAAUUUUUCGGAAUUAUAUAAUGGCAUAAUUAUCAUUGAUUUUUGUGUUUAUUAUAUGCACUUGUAUGAUUAACAAUGCGAAAGAUUCAGGAUACCUUCGGGACCCGUCUUGAAACACGGACCAAGGAGUCUAACAUAUGUGCAAGUUAUUGGGAUAUAAACCUAAUAGCGUAAUUAACUUGACUAAUAAUGGAUUAGUUUUUUAGCUAUUUAUAGCUAAUUAACACAAUCCCGGGGCGUUCUAUAUAGUUAUGUAUAAUGUAUAUUUAUAUUAUUUAUGCCUCUAACUGGAACGUACCUUGAGCAUAUAUGCUGUGACCCGAAAGAUGGUGAACUAUACUUGAUCAGGUUGAAGUCAGGGGAAACCCUGAUGGAAGACCGAAACAGUUCUGACGUGCAAAUCGAUUGUCAGAAUUGAGUAUAGGGGCGAAAGACCAAUCGAACCAUCUAGUAGCUGGUUCCUUCCGAAGUUUCCCUCAGGAUAGCUGGUGCAUUUUAAUAUUAUAUAAAAUAAUCUUAUCUGGUAAAGCGAAUGAUUAGAGGCCUUAGGGUCGAAACGAUCUUAACCUAUUCUCAAACUUUAAAUGGGUAAGAACCUUAACUUUCUUGAUAUGAAGUUCAAGGUUAUGAUAUAAUGUGCCCAGUGGGCCACUUUUGGUAAGCAGAACUGGCGCUGUGGGAUGAACCAAACGUAAUGUUACGGUGCCCAAAUUAACAACUCAUGCAGAUACCAUGAAAGGCGUUGGUUGCUUAAAACAGCAGGACGGUGAUCAUGGAAGUCGAAAUCCGCUAAGGAGUGUGUAACAACUCACCUGCCGAAGCAACUAGCCCUUAAAAUGGAUGGCGCUUAAGUUGUAUACCUAUACAUUACCGCUAAAGUAGAUGAUUUAUAUUACUUGUGAUAUAAAUUUUGAAACUUUAGUGAGUAGGAAGGUACAAUGGUAUGCGUAGAAGUGUUUGGCGUAAGCCUGCAUGGAGCUGCCAUUGGUACAGAUCUUGGUGGUAGUAGCAAAUAAUCGAAUGAGACCUUGGAGGACUGAAGUGGAGAAGGGUUUCGUGUGAACAGUGGUUGAUCACGAGUUAGUCGGUCCUAAGUUCAAGGCGAAAGCCGAAAAUUUUCAAGUAAAACAAAAAUGCCUAACUAUAUAAACAAAGCGAAUUAUAAUACACUUGAAUAAUUUUGAACGAAAGGGAAUACGGUUCCAAUUCCGUAACCUGUUGAGUAUCCGUUUGUUAUUAAAUAUGGGCCUCGUGCUCAUCCUGGCAACAGGAACGACCAUAAAGAAGCCGUCGAGAGAUAUCGGAAGAGUUUCUUUUCUGUUUUAUAGCCGUACUACCAUGGAAGUCUUUCGCAGAGAGAUAUGGUAGAUGGGCUAGAAGAGCAUGACAUAUACUGUUGUGUCGAUAUUUUCUCCUCGGACCUUGAAAAUUUAUGGUGGGGACACGCAAACUUCUCAACAGGCCGUACCAAUAUCCGCAGCUGGUCUCCAAGGUGAAGAGUCUCUAGUCGAUAGAAUAAUGUAGGUAAGGGAAGUCGGCAAAUUAGAUCCGUAACUUCGGGAUAAGGAUUGGCUCUGAAGAUUGAGAUAGUCGGGCUUGAUUGGGAAACAAUAACAUGGUUUAUGUGCUCGUUCUGGGUAAAUAGAGUUUCUAGCAUUUAUGUUAGUUACUUGUUCCCCGGAUAGUUUAGUUACGUAGCCAAUUGUGGAACUUUCUUGCUAAAAUUUUUAAGAAUACUAUUUGGGUUAAACCAAUUAGUUCUUAUUAAUUAUAACGAUUAUCAAUUAACAAUCAAUUCAGAACUGGCACGGACUUGGGGAAUCCGACUGUCUAAUUAAAACAAAGCAUUGUGAUGGCCCUAGCGGGUGUUGACACAAUGUGAUUUCUGCCCAGUGCUCUGAAUGUCAAAGUGAAGAAAUUCAAGUAAGCGCGGGUCAACGGCGGGAGUAACUAUGACUCUCUUAAGGUAGCCAAAUGCCUCGUCAUCUAAUUAGUGACGCGCAUGAAUGGAUUAACGAGAUUCCUACUGUCCCUAUCUACUAUCUAGGCGAAACCACAGCCAAGGGAACGCGGCUUGGAAUAAUUAGCGGCGAAAGAAGACCCUUUUGAGCUUGACUCUAAUCUGGCAGUGUAAGGAGACAUAAGAGUGUGUAGAAUAAGUGGGAGAUAUUAGACCUCGCGUUUGGUAUCGUCAAUGAAAUACCAUACUCUAUUGUUCCUUACUUACUUGAUUAAAUGGAACGUGUAUCAUUUCCUAGCCAUUAUACGGAUAUAUUUAUUAUAUCUUAUGGAUUGUGGUUUUGAUGCAAGCUUCUUGAUCAAAGUAUCACGAGUUUGUU
This 3586-nucleotide ribosomal RNA is filed under the name Drosophila melanogaster (fruit fly). RNAcentral describes it as "eukaryotic LSU rRNA". The stretch from base 573 to 3586 matches the Rfam family "Eukaryotic large subunit ribosomal RNA", at positions 1 to 2590 of the family's 3401-position model. Lineage: Eukaryota; Metazoa; Arthropoda; Insecta; Diptera; Drosophilidae. The record is from RNAcentral.